GUGCUUGCUUCUGUAGCACAUACGCUAAAAUUGUUGAACGAUACAGAGAAAAUUAGCUAUAGCUGCUGCGCUAGAAUGACACGGAAACUCGUGAAGCGGUCCAUAUUUUG
This is a small nuclear RNA of Gorilla gorilla gorilla (western lowland gorilla), 110 nucleotides long. NCBI's taxonomy places the organism in Eukaryota, Metazoa, Chordata, Mammalia, Primates, Hominidae. The record is from RefSeq and is a predicted model, not a curated record.